This is an RNA transcript of Haliotis rufescens (red abalone), 765 nucleotides long. RefSeq lists it as uncharacterized. The transcript is spliced from 3 exons. The record is from RefSeq and is a predicted model, not a curated record. Lineage: Eukaryota; Metazoa; Mollusca; Gastropoda; Lepetellida; Haliotidae.
AACUGAUCGAGAGACUUGAAUCUUAUGACAGAAAUGAUGAUUUUGUUGGGCCAUCUGUCUCCAUCCCACGUCCAGAAGAUACAUCAUGGCCAGUGUCAGGAUUUCAACAGCUGAUGCCUUCCCAUCGUCAACUACUGCCUCCCAUUUCCAAAGAAAUCAUUGAGGGUUACUUCAUCUACCGUAUGACAGGAGACAACCAAGCUGCCCAUGAUAUCAAGGCCAUAGAGAAAGGUUCUCUGAUGUUUGAGGGGGACAGGGUGCUGGCAUGCAGUGUUCACAUACGUGCAUCUACUGAUGUAUACUUAAGUGGCAUCGUCAGUGCAUCUAUGAAAAACAAGGAGUCACCAUGGAGAUUUGUUGCUCCAUCUGAAGUGUCUCAGCUGUUUGUAGACUCCUUGGGGGUGAGUGCUGAUCAGCAGCUACAUUAAUAAUAUUUCAACUUUUAAUUACCAAUCUAAUCACUGUCCAUUUUUUAUUAUCAGUAUUAGGUUGUUUUCAACUAUAUCAUUCUAUUUCAUCAACCUGUUAUUUCAUAUAACAUUCCUUAGUUGUCACCAUGUUGGUAUGAACUAUUCAGAGUAGGAUAUGUUGGGUUCUCAUGUAAUUGAAAUGUAUUUUCAUCCUGGUGACUGUAACAUCCUAACAGGAGAAAUAUCUACGUCUGAAUAAUGUUGUGUGAAGUUUGUUGUGAAUUGAAAUGCUUUUCACCAUAAUAACUUAUGUACACUGUUACCAUAUGGCCAUGUUUAUAAGAAAUGUUAUAUG